UAAUACGAACCGUCCAAACGUUAUUCGGAUUCAUUGGGCUUAAAGGGUAUGUAGGCGGCGCUGUCAGUCGGGUGUGAAAGCCCUCGGCUCAACCGAGGAACUGCGCCCGAUACUGCAGCGCUUGAGGGAGACAGAGGUAAGCGGAACUGAUGGUGGAGCGGUGAAAUGCGUUGAUAUCAUCAGGAACACCGGUGGCGAAAGCGGCUUACUGGGUCUCUUCUGACGCUGAGAUACGAAAGCUAGGGGAGCGAAGGGGAUUAGAUACCCCCGUAGUCCUAGCUGUAAACGAUGAGCACUUGACCGUGGGGCCCCCCAUAGCCUCUCGGUCGUAGCGAAAGUGAUAAGUGCUCCGCCUGGGGAGUAUGGUCGCAAGGCUG
RNAcentral lists this ribosomal RNA (377 nucleotides) under uncultured bacterium. RNAcentral describes it as "bacterial SSU rRNA". It matches the Rfam family "Bacterial small subunit ribosomal RNA", at positions 521 to 896 of the family's 1533-position model. The record is from RNAcentral.